GGGGUGUGUGUUUGAGUUCGACCAAGACAAGAGGAAAAGGGGCAAACCCUUCUUGGCCAAGAACAAGCAAAUUGAAAGGGGAAUCUAAUGUUAAAUUGGUGCAUGAAACUCAAAUCUUGAUCAUCUUAACCUUCUUAACAAACGGGCUAAAGGAAGAAGGUUCAAGCCACACGAAGCAAGAAGGAAAUCAAGACCGAGGUAUGUUACUUGUACAUUUUGAAUUGUAGUAAAGGUGUCUUUAUGUUUUAAAUUGUAGAUUUGAUUGCUUAUUGUAUCAAAGUGAAUUUGUUAUAUGUUUAUGUUGUCGAAUUAUCCCGAACGGGUCAAUUCAUUAGAAGUGUAUGUUAGAUGUAGGUUUGUGAUGAUGACUCGUUGUAAACGGGUCAAACAAUUGAUAUGUGAAUUUUGAGAAUGAGUUUACUAACAUCCGUUUUGAACGGGUCGAAUAAUUAGAACGAAUCAUGACAAGGGUGUUAUGUUGCAAAUCCGUUGUAAACGGGUUAGGAUAAGAAGAGCCUUAUGAGGAAGAAUGGCUAAGUAAUAUACUCAUUCCGAAUGAGUCAUAUGAGAAAGAAUGGUGUAACCGAGAUGGUUAUGAAAACAAGAAAGUCGAAUUCAAGAAAGAGUUAGUCAAGUAUUGUACUAAUUUAAAAUGGCGAAUAUUAGUUCAUCAUGUUCAUUGAAAAUUAGUAAAACUCAAGUUUAGGUGGUUACGCUUCGCUCAAAUCGAACACACUUGAACGCCUUUCAUGCGCUUCCGCAACUUUUGAAAUAUCGUUAAUGGGUCAAAAUACUUUUGUUAAAAUAGGUUAUGUUUGUUAGUUAAAACUUUAACUUGAUGUGUUAAGUCUUUUGUAAAUUCUAGUUUGUUGUGAAUGUUUAAAUUGCUACAGUUUUCGUUAUGUCUUUUGGUAUGUGUCGUAGGAU
Molecule: long non-coding RNA, 927 nt
Filed under: Helianthus annuus (common sunflower)
Lineage: Eukaryota; Viridiplantae; Streptophyta; Magnoliopsida; Asterales; Asteraceae
Description: hypothetical non coding rna
Source: RNAcentral